GACGGAGGGUGCGAGCGUUGUUCGGAAUUACUGGGCGUAAAGCGCGCGCAGGUGGGUGCGCAAGUCGGAGGUGAAAGCGCGGGGCUCAACCCCGCGACGCCCUUCGAGACUGCGUGUCUAGGGACCGGUACAGGUGAGUGGAAUUCCCGGUGUAGCGGUGGAAUGCGUAGAUAUCGGGAAGAACACCGGAGGCGAAGGCGGCUCACUGGGCCGGAUCCGACACUGAGGCGCGAAAGCGUGGGGAGCAAACAGG
RNAcentral lists this ribosomal RNA (253 nucleotides) under uncultured bacterium. Its description in RNAcentral is "partial 16S ribosomal RNA". It matches the Rfam family "Bacterial small subunit ribosomal RNA", at positions 524 to 776 of the family's 1533-position model. The record is from RNAcentral.